RNAcentral lists this transfer RNA (70 nucleotides) under Marmota monax (woodchuck). Its description in RNAcentral is "tRNA.Val". The record is from RNAcentral. Lineage: Eukaryota; Metazoa; Chordata; Mammalia; Rodentia; Sciuridae.
GGGGUCGUGGCUCAGUGUAGAGCGCUUGCUUCACAUGUAUGAGGUACUGGGUUGGAUUCUCAGCACCGCA